GGUAGCGACUGGCGGGAGGCGGCGGUAAUAGGGAGGGGCCGUGCGUGGGCCGGAAUUGUGGGGCGUAAAGUGCUCGGAGGUGGUUGGUCGUGUCUGCGGUGAUAAAUCGGGGCUUAACUCCGCGCGUGCUGUGGGUACGGGCAGGCUAGAGGGUGGUAGGGGUGAUUGGAAUUCCUGGUGUAGCGGUGGAAUGCGCAGAUAUCAGGAGGAACACCGAUGGCGAAGGCAGGUCACUGGGCCAUUACUGACGCUGAGGAGCGAAAGCAUGGGGAGCGAACAGGAUUAGAUACCCUUGUAGUC
This 300-nucleotide ribosomal RNA is filed under the name uncultured Pyrobaculum sp. RNAcentral's name for it is "bacterial SSU rRNA". It matches the Rfam family "Bacterial small subunit ribosomal RNA", at positions 496 to 795 of the family's 1533-position model. Lineage: Archaea; Thermoproteati; Thermoproteota; Thermoprotei; Thermoproteales; Thermoproteaceae. The record is from RNAcentral.